ACUCAAAGGAAUUGACGGGGGCCCGCACAAGCGGUGGAGCAUGUUGCUUAAUUCGAGGCAACGCGAAGAACCUUACCCAGGUUUGACAUGCAACGGACCUUCCGUGAAAGCGGGAUUCCCCUCGGGGCCGUUGCACAGAUGCUGCAUGGCUGUCGUCAGCUCGUGCCGUGAGGUGUUCGGUUAAGUCCGGCAACGAGCGCAACCCGUGCCGCCAGUUGCCAUCAGGUGACGCUGGGGACUCUGGCGGGACUGCCCGUGUCAAGCGGGAGGAAGGCGCGGACGACGUCAAGUCCGUAUGGCUCUUACGCCUGGGGCUGCAAACGUGCUACAAUGGCCGGCACAGCGGGGCGCCAAUCCGCGAGGAGGCGCGAAUCCCCAAAACCGGCCCCAGUUCGGAUCGCAGUCUGCAACUCGACUGCGUGAAGCCGGAAUCGCUAGUAAAGGGGCAUCAGCCACGGCCCCUUGAAUACGUUCCCGGGCCUUGUACACACCGCCCGU
This 498-nucleotide ribosomal RNA is filed under the name uncultured bacterium. RNAcentral describes it as "bacterial SSU rRNA". It matches the Rfam family "Bacterial small subunit ribosomal RNA", at positions 899 to 1397 of the family's 1533-position model. The record is from RNAcentral.